GAUGAAGAACGUAGCGAAAUGCGAUAAGUAGUGUGAAUUGCAGAAUUCAGUGAAUCAUCGAAUCUUUGAACGCACAUUGCGCCCCUUGGUAUCCCGAGGGGCAUGCCUGUUCGAGCGUCAUUUCACCACUCAAGCCUGGCUUGGUGUUGGGCGACGUCCUCUUUGGGGACGCGCCUUGAAACGCUCGGCGGCGUGGCACCGGCUUUAAGCGUAGCAGAAUCUUUCGCUUUGGAAGUCGGGGCCCCGUCUGCCGGAAGACCUGCUCGCAAGGUUGACCUCGGAUCAGGCAGGGAUACCCGCUGAACUUAAGCAUAUCAAUAAGCGGAGGA
Molecule: unclassified non-coding RNA, 329 nt
Filed under: soil metagenome
Description: partial contains 5.8S ribosomal RNA, internal transcribed spacer 2, and large subunit ribosomal RNA
Rfam family: 5.8S ribosomal RNA (bases 1-120)
Source: RNAcentral